AUGUUGCAAAUCCAGUUAUUAAUGAUUAAGGAAAUCACGAUUAUCUCCUGGAAUGUGGGUGGGCUGGGUAGACUCAAAAAAUGUACUGAUGUAAAAGCAGCUAUUUCUUCAUCUGAGUGCUCCGUGCUGUGUUUGCAAGAAUCAAAACUCCUUGACAUAUCCCAUUUUAAGGCUAUCUCUUUUCUUCCGCCCAGCCUAAGAUCCUACCACUCCGUCCCUGCUGUUGGAUCCGCCGGCGGGAUUAUCACCGCUUGGGACGACAAUUCUCUAUCUUGCACCAAGGUGGUUCACGGUGCUUUUCCCUUACCUGUUGGUUCGACUCGCGGACAGACGAUCUCUCUUUUGCGGUCUCAAAUGUGUACGGGCCUUGUGAUCAUGCUCUAA
This 384-nucleotide ribosomal RNA is filed under the name Triticum aestivum (bread wheat). RNAcentral's name for it is "partial small subunit ribosomal RNA". The record is from RNAcentral. Lineage: Eukaryota; Viridiplantae; Streptophyta; Magnoliopsida; Poales; Poaceae.